CCCAUCUGGGCAGAGGGAUCCUCCUCCCGUCACCACAGCUUUAGCACAAUGAAGCUAUUCAGGCUCUGCGCUGACACUCGGAGAAUAUGAUAAAGCCCUACCGAAGCAAAGGAGGACUUCUGCAGUGCUGGCUGGAGCUCAAGAAUGCUGUGGUUUCAACAGUUGCUUUCCUUUGGCUUUGGAACGACGUGGAGCCCACUGACUUUCUCAUUCAGAGGGAGACAGACCUCCUCCAGCUGUGGCUCACCUGAACCAUGGGAGACCCAGGCUCGCAGGAGGGACAGACCUGCUCAGGUCGGGUAUGAACCAGGAGGGACAGACCUGCUCAGGUCGGGUAUGAACCAGGAGGGACAGACCUGCUCAGGUAUUACUCAAAGGCUGCAUCUGAUGACUGUUCCUCUUAAUGAAGAGCCUUACCCAAGCGUUCCUGGUUAGCCUUGAAAGGCUGCAUUUGGAGUCGUUAUUGUAUUUCUUUCUUUUGAAGUGCCUUAAGAGUGAGGCAUAACAACCCUGUCUGAAAACCAGUACAUCCAUUAAUGACACCUGAUGCGCCUGUAGUAACUAUCCCCACCACCAAAGGAAGCUAAGACUGAUCUAAUUGUCUGCAAGCACUUCACGAGCAUUACUUCACUAAGUCUCAUUAAUUCUGUUUACAGAUGUAUCCAGUGUCAGUUAAUUGUUUUGUGAAACUACUACAGGGCAAACGAGAUGGAACAAACCUGCUAGGAAGCCCUUUUUGUCCUCAACCUUCCCUAGUUGCCUACUCUUUCAGAUAAAUAGAAGCGUUGGGGCCAUUAGUGAAGCCUCAAUUGCUCUGCCAAGCACCGGUCUCAGGGAACACAGAACCACUAAUCCUGAGGUGGCUUCAGUGAUAACUGCAGUGAAUGUGGAGCAGCAAUGCUCAGGCUACCAAGGGCAAGAAACAGCAGCAUUUAAACCCUGAGGAUGAUUAUAGCUUCUCAUUUUCUAGAAGCAGUUGAAAAUCAGCAGCCAGCUACUCUAGCUGCUUAUCAACAAGCUCUUACAGCCUUUUAAAGACAUCCAACGAAUUUUAACUAAUUCUUAAUAGGGGAAUUCUGCUCUUUUGCAAGUUGUCUGACAUUCCUUUCCAAGAUGUGGUUUAGUUGCAUGUGUUUUUUCACUUGGCUCCAAUUAAUAUCACAUUUGUUCAGAAAAGGAAAGCCAUGCAGUAUUCAGGGGGGAAAAGGUUUCCAUUUUACUUCUGCUUUAAAUGUGGUUACUGCAAGAUGCUGACUAAAGCAGAAACACAUGUCAACACAGGAUAAACUUUUUGAGCCCUAUUAACUUCAAAACAAAUAUUAACAUAAGGCUAAGCUAAGUGCAUUUUGAUUCUACCAAAACGAUCUGGUUUUCACAAAAGUGGGCUUGUGGCAGCACUGAGCCACUCUGAUUUCUAUCAGAAGUCACUCAAACCCAAUCCUGAAUGAAGCUGGACAAUUUUUUUCCCUCUCUUUAAAGUUAUCUUGACACCUUGCUAAUGGAGACUCUUCUUUUGGGAAACCAAAGCUUUUGCUUUUGGGAUCCACCCCCAUCUUCAGUUAAUUUCAGGCUAUGAUAGGGAGAUGGGGGUGUAAGUCUCAAAUGUAUCCAGACUUGUGGGGAGAGGCUGAUUUUGCAGCAAGAGGCUGCUGUUGCCAGCUAUCUUCUCAUGCCACUCACCUUCCAAUCACUGGAAGCCGUGAGCAGCUUUGGCACCGAGGCCUUGUGCCUGUCCCAACUGUUCCUUCACCCCUAAACAACUUCAGACAAAGCAAAAUGAUAGACUUCCCCCCCAAGUACUGCUUCAAUGCCUACACUGAUGUGACCAUGUAAAUCACACUCUGUGCUACGUGUGCCUUGCUUUUCUCAGCACAGCAUCAGGAAAGGGGAACUCGCAGCAGUGAUUUGCAAUUUGAAAGUUUCCAUGCUGUGCCCCAGACACCUUCCUAGUUUCCACCUCUCCAACCAAAACCCUGGAGUUAAUUGGACUGCUGUGAGCUUGAUGAAUUUUUUAAUUAAUCAUAAAGAAAUUGAGAACUUUGGGCUUUCUAGGCUGGAAAAGAGCAGACUUGAGAGAGCCUCUUGUAAAUGUAUAUAAAUACCUAAAGAGUGGAGAUCAUGAGGAUGGGGCUGGGCUCUUCUCAGUUGCACCCAGUGAUAGGAUGAAGGGCAAUGGGUGCAAGCAGGAAGUUUUGCUUGAAA
Molecule: long non-coding RNA, 2202 nt
Organism: Pogoniulus pusillus (Red-fronted tinkerbird)
Lineage: Eukaryota; Metazoa; Chordata; Aves; Piciformes; Lybiidae
Exons: 3
Source: RefSeq, a predicted model, not a curated record